UCUAACGUGAAAGGGAGCUUCGGCUCCUGAGUAAAGUGGCAAACGGGUGAGUAACGCGUGAAGAACCUGCCCGGAAGUGGGGGACAACACUCCUAACGGGGUGCUAAUACCGCAUACGCCUGCGGGGUCGCAUGAUCCUGCAGGCAAAGGUGGCCUCUGCUUGCAAGCUACCGCUUCCGGAUGGCUUUGCGUCCCAUUAGCUAGUUGGCGGGGUAACGGCCCACCAAGGCGACGAUGGGUAGCUGGUCUGAGAGGAUGGUCAGCCACACUGGGACUGAGAUACGGCCCAGACUCCUACGGGAGGCAGCAGUCGAGAGGCUUCCGCAAUGGGGGAAACCCUGACGGAGCGACGCCGCGUGGGGGAUGAAGGCUUUCGGGUUGUAAACCCCUUUCAGGUGGGAAGAAAAGCAGGCGGGUGAACAAUCCUCCUGCCUUGACGGUACCACCAGAAGAAGCUCCGGCCAACUCCGUGCCAGCAGCCGCGGUAACACGGGGGGAGCAAGCGUUGUUCGGAUUCAUUGGGCGUAAAGGGCGCGUAGGCGGCCGAGCAAGUCUGGCGUGAAAUGUACCGGUUCAACCGGGGCGCUGUGUCAGAAACUGCACGGCUUGAGGUCGAGGGAGGAAGGUGGAAUUCCUGGUGUAGCGGUGAAAUGCGUAGAUAUCAGGAGGAACACCCGUGGCGAAGGCGACCUUCUAUCUCGAUUCUGACGCUGAGGCGCGAAAGCCAGGGGAGCAAACGGGAUUAGAUACCCCGGUAGUCCUGGCUGUAAACGAUGGGCACUAGGUGUGGGAGGUAUCGACCCCUUCCGUGCCGCAGCUAACGCAUUAAGUGCCCCGCCUGGGGAGUACGGCCGCAAGGU
RNAcentral lists this ribosomal RNA (860 nucleotides) under uncultured bacterium. Its description in RNAcentral is "bacterial SSU rRNA". It matches the Rfam family "Bacterial small subunit ribosomal RNA", at positions 62 to 894 of the family's 1533-position model. The record is from RNAcentral.